GAUGUACAAGAAAUAACGUGAUCAAUAACACCUCAGGUGUAAAUAAAUAAAUAAUAUACAAUAUGUUGGCAUAAACUGAGUGCCACUGACCUGGAGAUAAACAUUUGUCAAGACACAGGAAGCCAUCUCUAUUAGAAGAGAAAAGGACUGAAUGUCUCCUCGCUCAGCAAGUGCAGUAAGAGCCUUCUCACACACUUAUCUAUUACCAGCAGAUCAUUAAUGCUUUCAUGAAGCCAGUAUUUGAUUUCACUCGACUCCUCAAGGGAAGCGACUGAACUUCAGAUGAAGACACAGCAGCUCUGAGGAUGGACCAGUUCACCACUCCAGCUCCAUCAUCCGGCUGGAUCCCAGAGACGGGUCAUUAUCUGGAGCAGACAGCCUCUCAGAGGAGUCCUGGCCGUGCGGUAGAGAGACCUGCCAUGCAGCUCCGACGAUUAAGAGACAAACUGACAAGAGCUGGAUGGAUGGACUUGAAUCAACCAAUACACUCUAUGCUUCCUCUGAGACUCUGGUAAAAUAUCUAUUUUCCACUCAUUGUCGAGGACUGUUAUGUACCGCCGACAAAGAACUGGGGACGAAAACAACAGCUAAUUUGCUGAACAAGGCAUUUUUUCUUCUCCCAUAAGAGCCCAGUCUGCAGUGAUAGUGUAAAAUAAAUAAAUCAGCAGUAGUAAAUGGAGCUGAAGACUCCAGGCACUGCUCUUUCUUGCGGUGCCAGAUAUGUACUGAUUUUCAUGCAUAUUUACUUGUGUUUGGCCUCUCGGCUGGGCAGUGUUUUACAGUCAGUGGAGGCUGAAUUGGUUCAGAUCUGAUCGGAUGCACAGCAGAUCAUUCAGGGGAAGAUCUCUGGGGCAAAGCAGACAGGAUCAGUUGAAAAGAUUAUAUACUAGAAAAUACCCUAGCUACUUUGUAUGUGUGUGCAUGCAUUUGCUCAGAAAAAAAGGGGAAAAAAACUUCCAUUUUAAACAACAAAUUUGAACAAAUCGAGUGAUCGAGAAACAUUUUGAGAUAAAUAUCUCAUAAAUGAAGCCACAGCUAAAUGAGGCAUUUGUAAUUAAGGGUUAAUGGAAUGAAUGUUGGG
This is a long non-coding RNA of Cyprinus carpio carpio, 1081 nucleotides long. NCBI's taxonomy places the organism in Eukaryota, Metazoa, Chordata, Actinopteri, Cypriniformes, Cyprinidae. The record is from Ensembl.